GAUGAACGCUGGCGGCGUGCCUAAUACAUGCAAGUCGAGCGAACAGACGAGGAGCUUGCUCCUCUGACGUUAGCGGCGGACGGGUGAGUAACACGUGGAUAACCUACCUAUAAGACUGGGAUAACUUCGGGAAACCGGAGCUAAUACCGGAUAAUAUAUUGAACCGCAUGGUUCAAUAGUGAAAGACGGUUUUGCUGUCACUUAUAGAUGGAUCCGCGCCGCAUUAGCUAGUUGGUAAGGUAACGGCUUACCAAGGCGACGAUGCGUAGCCGACCUGAGAGGGUGAGCGGCCACACUGGAACUGAGACACGGUCCAGACUCCUACGGGAGGCAGCAGUAGGGAAUCUUCCGCAAUGGGCGAAAGCCUGACGGAGCAACGCCGCGUGAGUGAUGAAGGUCUUCGGAUCGUAAAACUCUGUUAUUAGGGAAGAACAAAUGUGUAAGUAACUAUGCACGUCUUGACGGUACCUAAUCAGAAAGCCACGGCUAACUACGU
Molecule: ribosomal RNA, 496 nt
Filed under: uncultured bacterium
Lineage: Bacteria
Description: partial 16S ribosomal RNA
Rfam family: Bacterial small subunit ribosomal RNA
Source: RNAcentral